Melitaea cinxia (Glanville fritillary) is the source of this 766-nucleotide RNA transcript. It is a transcript of the gene named vesicle transport protein GOT1B, with no coding region annotated. The transcript is spliced from 6 exons. The record is from RefSeq and is a predicted model, not a curated record. Lineage: Eukaryota; Metazoa; Arthropoda; Insecta; Lepidoptera; Nymphalidae.
AUGAAAAUGACACAUGACAUGACAGUAAGAAAAUUCGAUAGCAAAUAUGACGUGGUGUAAAGGAUUAUAGAAUUGUUUAAUAGCUUAAAAUCGUAUUUACAAAUGUAUUUAGCUAAGUAAUCUGUAAUUAUUGUCUUGAUAGUACUAUAUUUUAAUAUAAUCUUCAAAAUGAUUGAUAUAACCGAUACACAAAAGAUUGGAGUCGGAUUAGCCGGCUUCGGAAUUACAUUCCUUUUUCUAGGAGUGUUACUGUUGUUUGAUAAGGGAUUACUAGCAAUUGGGAAUAUUCUCUUUAUAAGUGGUCUGGCGUGCGUCAUAGGGCUCCAAAGGACGUUUUUCUUUUUCUUCCAAAGGCACAAGGUGAAGGCUUCAGUCGCUUUCUUCGGAGGCAUCACUAUUGUGCUCCUAGGAUGGCCGAUGAUCGGAAUGAUCGCUGAGAUCUAUGGGUUCUUACUUCUAUUUAGAGGGUUCCUGCCGGCAGCUAUCAAUUUCCUCAGAAUGAUGCCAGUGCUGGGUUCACUCCUAAAUUUACCAAUAAUACGAGGGAUCGUUGACAGAAUAGCAGGCGACAACGGCCGUAAUAUGGUAUGAUAGUGUUAUCAUACCAAAAAAAGAAAAUAGACUUCAGUGUUACUAUGUUUGUGAAAGUGUGGAUGUUGCCAUGUGCGAAUUUUAAUAUGAACUCGGGACGGCGCAUGAGCGGCAAGCAUCCCAUCGAAUUUACGAAUUUACUUGUCUACAAAAAUAAAUAAAUACGUAUAUUAUA